RNAcentral lists this ribosomal RNA (253 nucleotides) under uncultured bacterium. Its description in RNAcentral is "partial 16S ribosomal RNA". It matches the Rfam family "Bacterial small subunit ribosomal RNA", at positions 524 to 776 of the family's 1533-position model. The record is from RNAcentral.
GACAGAGGGUGCAAGCGUUAUCCGGAAUUAUUGGGCGUAAAGCGUCCGCAGGCGGCCUUGAAAGUCUGUUGUUAAAGCGUGGAGCUCAACUCCAUUUCAGCAAUGGAAACUACAAGGCUAGAGUGUGGUAGGGGCAGAGGGAAUUCCCGGUGUAGCGGUGAAAUGCGUAGAUAUCGGGAAGAACACCAGUGGCGAAGGCGCUCUGCUGGGCCAUAACUGACGCUCAUGGACGAAAGCCAGGGGAGCGAAAGGG